GGAGCUGGAGAAGAAGAGGGUGUGCCGAAUCAUCACCACCGACUUCCCGCUGUACUUCGUGAUCAUGUCACGGCUCUGCCAGGACUACGACACCAUCGGUCCCGAAGGGGGCUCCCUGAAGAGCAAGCUGGUGCCCCUGGUACAGGCAACGUUCCCGGAGAAUGCCGUCACCAAGAGAGUGAAGCUGGCUCUGCAGGCCCAGCCUGUCCCGGAUGAGCUUGUCACUAAGCUCCUGGGCAACCAGGCCACAUUCAGCCCCAUUGUCACCGUGGAGCCCCGGCGCCGGAAGUUCCACCGCCCCAUUGGGCUUCGGAUCCCACUGCCUCCUUCCUGGACCGACAACCCGAGGGACAGCGGGGAGGGAGACACCACCAGCCUGCGCCUGCUUUGCAGCGUCAUUGGAGGAACAGACCAAGCCCAGUGGGAAGACAUAACAGGAACCACCAAACUUGUAUAUGCCAACGAGUGCGCCAACUUCACCACCAAUGUCUCCGCCAGGUUUUGGCUGUCAGACUGUCCUCGGACUGCUGAGGCUGUGAACUUUGCCACCCUGCUGUACAAAGAGCUCACUGCAGUGCCCUACAUGGCCAAAUUCGUCAUCUUUGCCAAGAUGAAUGACCCCCGAGAGGGGCGCCUGCGCUGCUACUGCAUGACAGAUGAUAAAGUGGACAAGACCCUGGAGCAGCAUGAGAACUUCGUGGAGGUGGCCCGGAGCAGGGACAUAGAGGU
RNAcentral lists this small RNA (729 nucleotides) under Pan troglodytes (chimpanzee). RNAcentral describes it as "retained intron". The record is from RNAcentral. Lineage: Eukaryota; Metazoa; Chordata; Mammalia; Primates; Hominidae.